UACCAGCUCUCCGAGUGGUGUGGAUGUUUAUUGGGCCUAAAGCAUCCGUAGCUGGCUGGGCAAGUCCCCUGUUAAAAUCCACCGAUUUAAUCGUUGGUGUGCGGGGGAUACUGUUCGGCUAGGGGACGGGAGAGGCCGACGGUAUUUUCGGGGUAGGGGUGAAAUCCUAUAAUCCCGGGAAGACCACCAGUGGCGAAGGCUGUCGGCUAGAACGCGCCCGACGGUGAGGGAUGAAAGCUGGGGGGAGCGAACCGGAUUAGAUACCCGGGUAGUCCCAGCUGUAAACGAUGCAGGCUAGGUGUUUGGGCGGCCACGUGCCGCUCUAGUGCCGCAGGGAAGCCAUUAAGCCCGCCGCCUGGGGAGUACGGCCGCAAGGCUAGAAACUUAAAGGAAUUGGCGGGGGAGCACCACAAGGCGUGAAGCUUGCGGUUC
Molecule: ribosomal RNA, 432 nt
Filed under: uncultured archaeon
Lineage: Archaea
Description: bacterial SSU rRNA
Rfam family: Archaeal small subunit ribosomal RNA
Source: RNAcentral